CUUUACUGUAGCCUGGUAUUGGGUUCGGGCUUUGACUGCGCAGGAUAGGUGGGAGACUGAGAAGUGUGCCUUGUGGGGCACAUAGAGUCAACGGUGAGAUACCACUCUAUCAGAGCUAGAAUUCUAACCUUCACCCGUGAUCCGGGGAAGGAACCGUAUCAGGUAGGCAGUUUGACUGGGGCGGUCGCCUCCUAAAAGGUAACGGAGGCGCGCAAAGGUGUUCUCAGGCUGGUUGGAAAUCAGCCGUAGAGUGUAAAGGCAGAAGAACGCUUGACUGUGUGAGUGACAACUCAAGCAGGGUGGAAACACGGCCUUAGUGAUCCGACGGUAUGCGCGUGGAAGUGCCGUCGCUCAACGGAUAAAAGUUA
RNAcentral lists this ribosomal RNA (368 nucleotides) under uncultured organism. RNAcentral describes it as "bacterial LSU rRNA". It matches the Rfam family "Bacterial large subunit ribosomal RNA", at positions 2099 to 2465 of the family's 2925-position model. The record is from RNAcentral.